UACAAUUUGUUGAGCAACUUUUAUCAGCAUUUAGAACUUAAAAGACAUGAUCAAAAAUCCUAGCUGUCCUUAAAUUCUACCUAACAAGUAUUUUGCAUUUGCAGGUUUCUACCACUUGCUUGAACCUUGAAAGCAUUUUAAUCCCAAAAGACACUGAGAAUGCUUGCUUGUCUUCAAGUGAAAUCGGUUGCUGUGCUCCAAGGGUACUGACCGGAAUUGAAGAUCAUGUUUACCAACCACUCUGUUUAUGUGUCUCUUGUUAGUGCAAUGCUUCAGGAAAGCUACGGGUGAAAUAUUGUGUAUGCAGUGCUUGAAAAUUCAGCCUGUUGGGCCAGGUUGCUCAAUUUCUUCCUGUGGUGGACUAUUGAUAGCAAAGUAAUAUUGCAGUACUUGCAAAUUUUAAAAUGAUAAAAGAACAAAGAUGUAAUUUAUGCAAUUCAGAAGGUCGCUGCUGCUUAUGACUGCAAAAUUGUUGAAUGUGUUUUUCUCCAUCAGCUGAAGCAGUUUGACAGGAACUACCACUUGAAGAUGAAAGCUCGAGGUUUAUUUUCAGUGAAAUAAAUCAGAAAUUUCCUCCCAUUCCACUCACAGCUAGGAGAUUAUGUUGCUCACAUCAAAUUCACAGUUUUGCUAAUGCCAAAUGGUUCGAAUAGAGUCGCAUCUCAUCCUCUGCAGGAGCUGCAGCCCAGAAAGACAACAGAUGAUCCUGAAAUCAAGGCCUUGCUAGCCUUGGGCACCAAGAAAAAGAAGAAAGGUAAAAAGGUUGACAAAGCUGAGGAGUCAACAUAAGCCGAGCCUAUGGAUCCAACAACAAAUGGGAUGGUGCAGGAUGAGGGAAACCGUAACAGUAGAGCAUCCUCUUCCAUUAUUCCCAUCAUUUCCUUGCCUUUCUCAUUUAUGCAUCGAUAAUUGCCCUAUGAUGUCUGUAGCACCAGGGAGCAAAACAAUACCCUCCUCUUCCUCUCCCUUUUCCAAUUUCUCCGGGAUUAGAGGAACUUGAAUAUCUACCACUAGAAUGGCUGCAAAAUCUCACUUCUCUUGGGACACUGAAGAUUUGUGGGUGUUGUAAAAUGCGAAUCUCUUUGUCUCCACUCUUUCAACAUCUCACCUCAUUUGAAAAUCUGUCUAUUCUUCACUGCAAAGAAUGUAUCAGCAAUGAGAAUGAAGAUGGCACAGGAUGCCUUGGGCCUUCAAGAUUUGGUCAUCUAUCUAUAAUAGAUGUUCCAAAUUUGGUUUCUCUCCCAAGAGAGCUUAGAGAUGUUACUAGUCUGCAAGGGCUUCAAAUUAUGGAUUGCCCUAGUUUGGUGUCUUUACCGGAGUGGAUAGGCGAUCUCCUUCACUUCAGGAGCUUGGAGUCGCAAAUUGUUUGAAUUUAAUAUCACUGCCCGAAGGUGUGCGCCGCCUCACCUCUUUACAUCGUUUGACAAUUGCGGAGUGUCCUCGAUUGGAUUUGGAGGAAAGCCGUGAACAAAGAAUGGGAGAGGAUUGGCCAAGGAUUGCUCACGUCCCAAACUUUCGAAAUGGCGGAGAUGGUAAUCGUAUAGAGUGGAACGCAAGCCAAACUUGCCAAAUUUAUCAGGAAGAAGUGAAUGUUUUACGUGUAGACGCUUCUUCAAACCUUGCUGACAAUCAGAUUUGCUGAGAGGAAUGAGCUUCGUGAUGACAAGCAUAGGCUCAAGGCGGGCAAAGAGAAGUUGGAGGAGCAAGUGAAAGCAAUGAGUGCUCAACCAGGCUCCCUGCCUCAUCCCUCUGCAAUGUUGGGUACAUUUUCUGCUCAAGCUGAUGCCUUUAAUUGGUUGUCCCAACAUGGCAAUUCAUGACAUCUGCUGUAGUUGACACAUCACAGGAUCAUGUAUUACGCCGUCCAGUUGCUUAAAAUUGAACACACCCAGGGUUUUGGUUCAUGUUACUUGUAAGGCAAGGGUGUUUCUUUUGUAUGUUUUUUAUUUGAUUGUUUUCAACUAUUUCUAUGUUGGUACCUUAGGGUCAGAGAUGUAAAGAGGUGCAACAUCUAUGUCUAGACAGUAUAGUGACUGGAACUUCUUGUGGAUUUCUUCUCAUCUCGUGUACAAUUAUAUAAGC
Non-coding RNA from Corylus avellana, 2082 nucleotides. Lineage: Eukaryota; Viridiplantae; Streptophyta; Magnoliopsida; Fagales; Betulaceae. The record is from RefSeq and is a predicted model, not a curated record.